RNAcentral lists this long non-coding RNA (221 nucleotides) under Hordeum vulgare. RNAcentral's name for it is "long non-coding RNA (HVUL_LNC017410)". Lineage: Eukaryota; Viridiplantae; Streptophyta; Magnoliopsida; Poales; Poaceae. The record is from RNAcentral.
GGCCUUCGUCGCGAAGGAGUCGCACGAAGAGAGAAAGAAGCGCAGACAUUUUAUUUCUUACCAUUUGUCUGUUCUUUCCCUCCUGUUCGUCUAGUUCUUCUCGUUCCGGCAAUCGCCGGCGAUUUCUUGCUCUCGGUAGAGGCAGUGCUGAUAACAUGUUAAAGUAAAACGAGAUUGAGUGAAAGUAAUGGACGAUCAGUCCUGAUUUCUAUUGAUUCUCA